Small nuclear RNA from Artibeus jamaicensis (Jamaican fruit-eating bat), 165 nucleotides. RefSeq annotates it as U1 spliceosomal RNA. The transcript has a single exon. The record is from RefSeq and is a predicted model, not a curated record. NCBI's taxonomy places the organism in Eukaryota, Metazoa, Chordata, Mammalia, Chiroptera, Phyllostomidae.
AUACUUACCUGGCAGGGGAGGUACCACGAUCACAAAGGUGGUUUCCCCAGGGUGAGGCGUACCUAUGGCACUUCCAGAUGGGGUGACGCCUGCGAUUUCCUUGAGUGUGGGAAAAUCGGCUGCAUAAUUUGUGGUAGUGGGGGACUGCAUUCACGCUCUCCACUG